GCCACCAGCCAUAUCACCCUGCAGCCCAAGACUGGUUGCCCACUGAAGCUAAGCAGGGCUGAGCCUGGUCAGUACCUGGAUGGGAGACCUCCUGGGAAAACUAGGUUGCUGCUGGAA
RNAcentral lists this ribosomal RNA (117 nucleotides) under Sinocyclocheilus rhinocerous. The record is from RNAcentral. Lineage: Eukaryota; Metazoa; Chordata; Actinopteri; Cypriniformes; Cyprinidae.